Molecule: ribosomal RNA, 429 nt
Filed under: Pseudomonadota bacterium
Lineage: Bacteria; Pseudomonadati; Pseudomonadota
Description: Proteobacteria bacterium partial 16S ribosomal RNA
Rfam family: Bacterial small subunit ribosomal RNA
Source: RNAcentral
UGGGGAAUAUUGGACAAUGGGCGAAAGCCUGAUCCAGCCAUGCCGCGUGUGUGAAGAAGGUCUUCGGAUUGUAAAGCACUUUAAGUUGGGAGGAAGGGCAGUAAGCGAAUACCUUGAUGUUUUGACGUUACCGACAGAAUAAGCACCGGCUAACUCUGUGCCAGCAGCCGCGGUAAUACAGAGGGUGCAAGCGUUAAUCGGAAUUACUGGGCGUAAAGCGCGCGUAGGUGAUUCGUUAAGUUGAAUGUGAAAGCCCCGGGCUCAACCUGGGAACUGCAUCCAAAACUGGCGAGCUAGAGUAGGGCAGAGGGUGGUGGAAUUUCCUGUGUAGCGGUGAAAUGCGUAGAUAUAGGAAGGAACACCAGUGGCGAAGGCGACCACCUGGGCUCAUACUGACACUGAGGUGCGAAAGCGUGGGGAGCAAACAGG